This 429-nucleotide ribosomal RNA is filed under the name Pseudomonadota bacterium. RNAcentral describes it as "Proteobacteria bacterium partial 16S ribosomal RNA". It matches the Rfam family "Bacterial small subunit ribosomal RNA", at positions 355 to 776 of the family's 1533-position model. The record is from RNAcentral. Lineage: Bacteria; Pseudomonadati; Pseudomonadota.
UGGGGAAUAUUGGACAAUGGGCGAAAGCCUGAUCCAGCCAUGCCGCGUGUGUGAAGAAGGUCUUCGGAUUGUAAAGCACUUUAAGUUGGGAGGAAGGGCAGUAAGCGAAUACCUUGCUGUUUUGACGUUACCGACAGAAUAAGCACCGGCUAACUCUGUGCCAGCAGCCGCGGUAAUACAGAGGGUGCAAGCGUUAAUCGGAAUUACUGGGCGUAAAGCGCGCGUAGGUGGUUCGUUAAGUUGAAUGUGAAAGCCCCGGGCUCAACCUGGGAGCUGCAUCCAAAACUGGCGAGUUAGAGUAGGGCAGAGGGUGGUUGAAUUUCCUGUGUAGCGGUGAAAUGCGUAGAUAUAGGAAAGAACACCAGUGGCGAAGGCGACCACCUGGGCUCAUACUGACACUGAGGUGCGAAAGCGUGGGGAGCAAACAGG